GGCCCGGUAGCCAAGCUGGCAAAGGCUCCAGGUUGCAACCCUGGGAUCGUGAGUUCGAGUCUCACUCGGGUCUCCA
Molecule: transfer RNA, 76 nt
Filed under: marine sediment metagenome
Description: tRNA-Cys
Rfam family: tRNA
About the family: Transfer RNA (tRNA) molecules are approximately 80 nucleotides in length. Their secondary structure includes four short double-helical elements and three loops (D, anti-codon, and T loops).
Source: RNAcentral